UACGUAGGGGGCUAGCGUUGUCCGGAUUUAUUGGGCGUAAAGAGCGUGUAGGCGGUUUGGUAGGUCCGCUGUGAAAACUCGAGCUCAACCUCGAGACGCCGGUGGAAACCAUCAGACUAGAGUCCGGAAGAGGAGAGUGGAAUUCCUGGUGUAGCGGUGAAAUGCGCAGAUAUCAGGAAGAACACCCGUGGCUAAGGCGGCUCUCUAGUACGGUACUGACGCUGAGACGCGAAAGCGUGGGGAGCGAACAGG
RNAcentral lists this ribosomal RNA (252 nucleotides) under uncultured bacterium. RNAcentral's name for it is "partial 16S ribosomal RNA". It matches the Rfam family "Bacterial small subunit ribosomal RNA", at positions 524 to 776 of the family's 1533-position model. The record is from RNAcentral.